Molecule: ribosomal RNA, 1331 nt
Filed under: uncultured bacterium
Lineage: Bacteria
Description: bacterial SSU rRNA
Rfam family: Bacterial small subunit ribosomal RNA
Source: RNAcentral
AGUUUGAUCCUGGCUCAGAACGUACGCUGGCGGCACGCCUAAUACAUGCAAGUCGAACGAAGUAGCAAUACUUAGUGGCAGACGGGUGAGUAACAUGUGGGUAUCUUCCCUUUGGCCUGGAAUAACACGAGGAAACUUGUGCUAAUACCGGAUAAGUCUUUACGGAGAAAGCUUUAUGCACCAUUGGAUGAGCCUGCACUUGAUUAGUUUGUUGGUGGGGUAAUGGCCUACCAAGACAAUGAUCAAUAGCUGAUUUGAGAGGAUGAUCAGCCACAUUGGGACUGAGACACGGCCCAAACUCCUACGGGAGGCAGCAGUGGGGAAUCUUGCACAAUGGGGGAAACCCUGAUGCAGCGAUGCCGCGUGAGUGAAGAAGGCCUUUGGGUUGUAAAGCUCUUUCGUCGGGGAAGAAAAUGACUGUACCCGAAUAAGAAGGUCCGGCUAACUUCGUGCCAGCAGCCGCGGUAAUACGAAGGAACCUAGCGUAGUUCGGAAUUACUGGGCUUAAAGAGUUCGUAGGUGGUUAAAGAAGUUGAUGGUGAAAUCCCAGGGCUUAACCCUGGAGCUGCCAUCAAAACUUUUUAGCUAGAGUAUGAUAGAGGAAGCAGAAUUUCUAGUGUAGAGGUGAAAUUCGUAGAUAUUAGAAAGAAUACCGAUUGCGAAGGCAGCUUCUGGAUCAUUACUGACACUGAGGAACGAAAGCAUGGGUAGCGAAGAGGAUUAGAUACCCUCGUAGUCCAUGCUGUAAACUAUGUGUGCUAGACGUUGGAAAUUUAUUUUCAGUGUCGCAGCAAAAGCAUUAAGCACACCGCCUGGGGAGUACGACCGCAAGGUUAAAACUCAAAUGAAUUGACGGGGACCCGCACAAGUAGUGGAGCAUGUGGUUUAAUUCGAAGAUACGCGCAGAACCUUACCAACACUUGACAUGUUCGUCGCAACUUUAAGAGAUUAAAGUUUUCGGUUUGGCCGGACGAAACACAGGUGCUGCAUGGCUGUCGUCAGCUCGUGUCGUGAGAUGUUGGGUUAAGUCCCGCAACGAGCGCAACCCUCACUUUUAGCUGCCAUCAUUAAGUUGGGCACUCUGAAAGAACUGCCAGUGAUAAGCUGGAGGAAGGUGGGGAUGACGUCAAGUCCUCAUGGCCCUUACGUGUUGGGCUACACACGUGCUACAAUGGCACUUACAAUAGGAAGCAAGAAGGUGACUUUAAGCAAAUCCUAAAAAGGUGUCUCAGUUCGGAUUGUACUCUGCAACUCGAGUACAUGAAGCUGGAAUUACUAGUAAUCGCGGAUCAGCGCGCCGCGGUGAAUACGUUCCCGGGUCUUGCACACAC